GGUGGUAGUAUGUCAAAUUGGUGACAUAAGCUGUUGGGUCAUCACUGUCUUCUAGCUCUGAGGUAAAGUCACUCACACUUUCAAACAAGUGUUCUGCUGAAUCCACAUCCAGGUGCUUCUCUUUUCCAUUGGGUAUACUGUGGUCGAUGACUAUUGUUUCAGUGUUUGCUAAACAAAAUCCAUUUGAUCGCAUGAUUUCUGAUAUUUUAACGGGACUUUGAAAGCUUGGCUGAAUUUUAUGGACAUUGUCAUUCUUUAGAACUUGGUCCAAAGGAGAUCUCUCAAAGAAUGUGAGGACUACUUCAGAUCUCGAAUACUUCCAUGGCAUGUUUAUUAUAGUCUUCAGAAG
Molecule: long non-coding RNA, 349 nt
Filed under: Gallus gallus (chicken)
Lineage: Eukaryota; Metazoa; Chordata; Aves; Galliformes; Phasianidae
Source: RNAcentral